ACUUUGUGCAUUGGGUCCACAAGGAGGGACGACCUUUGUGGGCUCAGGGUGUAAAGGUU
This 59-nucleotide microRNA precursor is filed under the name Mandrillus leucophaeus (drill). Its description in RNAcentral is "miRNA (ENSMLEG00000008875.1)". Lineage: Eukaryota; Metazoa; Chordata; Mammalia; Primates; Cercopithecidae. The record is from RNAcentral.